AUCACUCGUUGUUGGCAAUAUAUCGUCAGCGACUGAGCGAAAGCAUUAAGUGAUCCACCUGGGGAGUACGAUCGCAAGAUUGAAACUCAAAGGAAUUGACGGGGGCCCGCACAAGCGGAGGAACAUGUGGUUUAAUUCGACGAUACGCGAGGAACCUUACCUGGGCUUAAAUGCAGAACGACGUACCGGGAAACUGGUACUCCCUUCGGGGCGAACUGCAAGGUGCUGCAUGGCUGUCGUCAGCUCGUGCCGUGAGGUGUCGGGUUAAGUCCCAUAACGAGCGCAACCCCUAUCGUUAGUUGCCAGCGGAUAAUGCCGGGGACUCUAACGAAACUGCCAGUGUAAACUGUGAGGAAGGUGGGGAUGACGUCAAGUCAGCACGGCCCUUAUGUCCAGGGCUACACACGUGUUACAAUGGCCGGUACAGAGGGCAGCUACCUGGUGACAGGAUGCAAAUCUCGAAACCCGGUCUCAGUUCGGAUCGAAGUCUGCAACUCGACUUCGUGAAGGUGGAUUCGCUAGUAAUCGCGCAUCAACCACGGCGCGGUGAAUACGUUCCCGGGCCUUGUACACACCGCCCGUCAAGCCAUGGAAGCUGGGGGUACCUGAAGUCUGUAACCGCAAG
RNAcentral lists this ribosomal RNA (625 nucleotides) under uncultured Bacteroidota bacterium. RNAcentral's name for it is "bacterial SSU rRNA". It matches the Rfam family "Bacterial small subunit ribosomal RNA", at positions 812 to 1445 of the family's 1533-position model. Lineage: Bacteria; Pseudomonadati; Bacteroidota. The record is from RNAcentral.